RNAcentral lists this ribosomal RNA (467 nucleotides) under uncultured bacterium. RNAcentral describes it as "partial 16S ribosomal RNA". It matches the Rfam family "Bacterial small subunit ribosomal RNA", at positions 28 to 507 of the family's 1533-position model. The record is from RNAcentral.
GACGAACGCUGGCGGCGUGCUUAACACAUGCAAGUCGAACGGAAAGGCCCUGCUUUUGUGGGGUGCUCGAGUGGCGAACGGGUGAGUAACACGUGAGUAACCUGCCCUUGACUUUGGGAUACUUCACGAAACUCGGGCUUAUACCCGGUUGGGAUUACUGCUGCAAGGUGGGGGGUGGGACCGUUGGGCGGGUGGGGAUGGAGUCGCGGCUUAUCAGCUUGUUGGUGGGGUAGUGGCUUACCAAGGCUUUGACGGGUAGCCGGCCUGAGAGGGUGACCGGCCACAUUGGGACUGAGAUACGGCCCAGACUCCUACGGGAGGCAGCAGUGGGGAAUAUUGCACAAUGGGCGGAAGCCUGAUGCAGCAACGCCGCGUGCGGGAUGACGGCCUUCGGGUUGUAGACCGCUUUCGCCUGUGACGAAGCGUGAGUGACGGUAAUGGGUAAAGAAGCACCGGCUAACUACGUG